Molecule: ribosomal RNA, 468 nt
Filed under: uncultured bacterium
Lineage: Bacteria
Description: partial 16S ribosomal RNA
Rfam family: Bacterial small subunit ribosomal RNA
Source: RNAcentral
GACGAACGCUGGCGGCGUGCUUAACACAUGCAAGUCGAACGGAAAGGCCCUGCUUUUGUGGGGUGCUCGAGUGGCGAACGGGUGAGUAACACGUGAGUAACCUGCCCUUGACUUUGGGAUAACUUCAGGAAACUGGGGCUAAUACCGGAUAGGAGCUCCUGCUGCAUGGUGGGGGUUGGAAAGUUUCGGCGGUUGGGGAUGGACUCGCGGCUUAUCAGCUUGUUGGUGGGGUAGUGGCUUACCAAGGCUUUGACGGGUAGCCGGCCUGAGAGGGUGACCGGCCACAUUGGACUGGGGAUACGGCCCAGACUCGUACGGGAGGCAAGAGUGGAGUAUGUUGCACAAUGGGCGGAAGCCUGAUGCAGCAACGCCGCGUGCGGGAUGACGGCCAUCGGGUUGUAAACCGCUGUCGCCUUUGACGAAGCGUGAAUGACGGUAAUGGGUGAAGAAGCACCGGCUAACUACGUG